GACGAACGCUGGCGGCGUGCUUAACACAUGCAAGUCGAACGGAAAGGCCCUGCUUUUGUGGGGUGCUCGAGUGGCGAACGGGUGAGUAACACGUGAGUAACCUGCCCUUGACUUUGGGAUAACUUCAGGAAACUGGGGCUAAUACCGGAUAGGAGCUCCUGCUGCAUGGUGGGGGUUGGAAAGUUUCGGCGGUUGGGGAUGGACUCGCGGCUUAUCAGCUUGUUGGUGGGGUAGUGGCUUACCAAGGCUUUGACGGGUAGCCGGCCUGAGAGGGUGACCGGCCACAUUGGGACUGAGAUACGGCCCAGACUCCUACGGGAGGCAGCAGUGGGGAAUAUUGCACAAUGGGCGGAAGCCUGAUGCAGCAACGCCGCGUGCGGGAUGACGGCCUUCGGGUUGUAAACCGUUUUCGCCUGUGACGAAGCGUGAGUGAGGGUAAUGGGUAAAGAAGCACCGGCUAACUACGUG
This 468-nucleotide ribosomal RNA is filed under the name uncultured bacterium. RNAcentral describes it as "partial 16S ribosomal RNA". It matches the Rfam family "Bacterial small subunit ribosomal RNA", at positions 28 to 507 of the family's 1533-position model. The record is from RNAcentral.